Molecule: long non-coding RNA, 1302 nt
Organism: Vespa mandarinia (Asian giant hornet)
Lineage: Eukaryota; Metazoa; Arthropoda; Insecta; Hymenoptera; Vespidae
Source: RefSeq, a predicted model, not a curated record
UUUUCUUUUUUUUUCUUUUUUUUCUUUUUUUUUUUUUUUUUCUUAUGAUUAGACUCUAGCAUCCUCGCACCAUCUGGUGGUAUAUUGACGAAACUAAUAUUUCAUUACCAAAAUUUCAGCAUCUAUUGAAAUAGUGUACCUUUUUUAUUUUACAAUUGAUAAACGUUAUAAUCUGUAAAUGUGUAACUUAGUUUAAUGGCAUAAAUUUAACUGUAUAGAUAUAGUUGUUUGUGAAAUGAGGUCAUACUUUUUCUGUGAUAAUUAUAUCGUGCUUUACCUAACGCUUUCUUGUGUUCAUCAAUUAUAAUUAGGUUAACUUUACGUUUACUUUAUUUACAUAACAAGUUUGUAGUAUUAAUUGAGCAGUAUAGUUUAUGGAAAACAGUAUCGACAAUUUCAACGCAUACUUUUUUUUUCUAUUGUCAUAUGUAUAUAUUAUACGUAUAUAUACAUAUAUAUGAUAUAUAUAUAUAUAUGUUAUGGUAGAAAAUAAAAAUGGAAAAGGAGGAAAAAAGAAAUAGAAAGAAAAUUAUAAGAAUAUACGUAAGAAUGAAUACGAAUGAACGAACGCGAAUCAACGAACAAACGAAUUGUAAGAAUGAGUAAAUGAGCUAUGUCCUGUUACAUAAACACAACUGGUAGUAGUUGAGGGCAACCGUUAAUGAUGCGAAUAUUCACAAUCAAAAAACCACGAUAAAGAAUUGCAAUGAUGUGACGUGUAUGAAACGAUAAAUAUCGUGUUCAUUAAAGCUGUCUUUUUAACACUAUCGACCUGAUAUAAAUGAUCAUUUUGAUAAUUAUAGGUACGUGCACUAUAUUGUGUAUUAAUGAGAUGCAAUAAAAAUACGUAACGUUAUUUUUAAAAUAUAACUGCAUACUUAUAUACAUAAAAUUUGAUAAUAUGCAAAUGGCAAUAUAAUAAAGAUAAAAAAAGUUAAAAAUAAAGUAUAUGCGAUGUUAUUGCUAUAUUUAUAAAAAGAAACACGCAAAAGAUAAUAAGAAUUGGAGAGACAAAAAAUAGAACAUAACAAGUAGUAUCAAUGCAGUUACUAUAUAAUUAUAUUUACAAAUGCAUACAUAAAAGAAAAAGGGACAAAGAAAAAAGCUAGUAAAAAGAAUGAAAAAUAUGUAUAUUAAAAAAAAAAAAAGUGAGAAAUAAUAAUAAAAUAAAAACGGGUUAUGAUUAAUAAAAAAAAUUCUGUUGUCCUUUUGCAGUCACGUGACGAGUCUACGAAGAACAGGAAGAAAAACAAAAAAAAAAAAAGAGAAAAAAAAAAAGAAAGAAAAAUACAAAACUAACAA